UGUAAAGAGAGAAGAAGAGAGAGGUGGGGUAAAGAGAGAAGAAGAGAGAGGUGGGGUAAAGAGAGAAGAAGAGAGAGGUGGUAUAAAGAGAGAAGAAGAGAGAGGUGGUGUAAAGAGAGAAGAAGAGAGAGGUGGGGUAAAGAGAGAAGAAGAGAGAGGUGGGGUAAAGAGAGAAGAAGAGAGGUGGUGUAAAGAGAGAAGAAGAGAGAGGUGGUGUAAAGAGAGAAGAAGAGAGAGGUGGGGUAAAGAGAGAAGAAGAGAGAGGUGGUGUAAAGAGAGAAGAAGAGAGGUGGUGUAAAGAGAGAAGAAGAGAGAGGUGGUGUAAAGAGAGAAGAAGAGAGAGGUGGGGUAAAGAGAGAAGAAGAGAGAGGUGGUGUAAAGAGAGAAGAAGAGAGAGGUGGGGUAAAGAGAGAAGAAGAGAGAGGUGGUGUAAAGAGAGAAGAAGAGAGGUGGGGUAAAGAGAGAAGAAGAGAGGUGGUGUAAAGAGAGAAGAAGAGAGAGGUGGGGUAAAGAGAGAAGAAGAGAGAGGUGGUGUAAAGAGAGAAGAAGAGAGAGGUGGGGUAAAGAGAGGAGAGGAAGAGAGAAAAAAGACAUGCCACAGCAUCAGAGAAACGUGAAGGAAAAGGAGCAAAAUGAGGAGAGGAGGGGGGGGAGUUGUAGGACUUGAGGUUUAUGCAACACACGGCCUGGCCUCGGCCUCGCAGCGAGCCUCCCCUCACCUCAGCACCCCAGAUACACACACGCAUGCACACCACAGGAGGUUGGUGGCACCUUAAUUGGGGAGGACAGGCUCGUGGUAAUGGCUGGAGUGGAACAGGUGGAAUGGUAUCAAAUACAUAACAUCAAACGCAUGGUUUCCAUUCGCUCUGUUCUGGGGCAUUAGUAUGAGCCCCUCAGCCCCUAUAUCUAUGAUCUGCUGGGGAGAAUCAAUUUGAGUAACUAUUUGAUUUUAGUUGCAAAUUACUUCAUAACACCUGCAGGUAUACAGACCAAGAUCUCGUGGUUUUACCAACCUGACUUCAGUAUCUGACAUUUAUCCACAGUUCUCCAAACGUUUACAUUUUGAUGUUAAUGGUUACAUUUUGGAUAAGGUAAAAAAAUAUAUAUUUACAAAAAUGUGUUUCUACCACUGGGAGUGAGCACAUGACCUUCAGAUCAGGAGUGAUGUGAUUAAAACAAAGAACGAGUUUCUACCACUAGGAUUGAACACGUGACCUUUGGUUCUGGAGAUUUUGCAACGCCACACACACACACACACACACAACCACACAGAACGAAUGGCCAUGCAAUGUAAUCGUAGCGAUACCAACAAUGCUACUGUAAAUAAACACACACAUACAUACACACACACACACACACAACCACACAGAAUGAAUGGCCCUGCUAUGUAAUCGUAGCGAUACCCACAAUGCUACUGUAAAUAAACAGACACAUCCAUACAUACACACACACACAUUCCUGAAACAAGAUAGUUUAUAAUGCAUACAUAUACACUCAUGCUGUGCCAACUGAGCCCACAGUGUAGUGUGUGUGUGUGUGUGUGUGUGUGUGUGUGUGUGUGUGUGUGUGUGUGUGUGUGUGUGUGUGUGUGUGUGUCAUGAAGCUGCCGCUGAUGCCGCCUCUUCAAGCGUAAUAGACUGGAGGCUUAGAGCUAGGAUGGACAUAUGCAGAAGGGAAGCAGGGGAACAGAGGGAAGGAGAGAGGUGGAGUCAGGAUGGAGAUAGGCAAAUAGAGAGAAGAAGGAGUGAGAUAGAUAGAUGGAUGGAUAGAUGGAAGCGAAGAGAGAGAGAAGAGGGAGAGGAUGAGAGAACGAGAGAGAUGGGGAGAUAGAAGAGAGGGGGUAGAGAGGGAAGGUGAGAGGCGGACAGAGAAAAGAGGAAGUGGGAGAGAGGGAUGGAGUGGAAGAUAGAGAAAGAAUAAGAGGUAGAGGAGCGGGGGAACGAGAGAUGGAGAUGGAAGAGAAGGAGGUUGAAAAGAACAGAGAGGAACAGAACUCAGAUCAAAUAGUUUCUUAUGAUAUAAUAAUGAGAAUAAGAUGUAGUUCUUUACCCUUGUCUUGUAGUAAUUCAUCCGUCUUGUACAUGCGUGUUGGCAUGUGUGUGUGUGUGUGUGUGUGUGUGUGUGUGUGUG
Molecule: long non-coding RNA, 2130 nt
Organism: Oncorhynchus tshawytscha (Chinook salmon)
Lineage: Eukaryota; Metazoa; Chordata; Actinopteri; Salmoniformes; Salmonidae
Source: Ensembl